RNAcentral lists this unclassified non-coding RNA (222 nucleotides) under uncultured bacterium. RNAcentral's name for it is "contains 16S-23S intergenic spacer region". The record is from RNAcentral.
UCCGGUUUGUCACCGGCAGUCCCAUUAGAGUGCUCAACUAAAUGUGGCAACUAAUGGCAAGGGUUGCGCUCGUUGCGGGACUUAACCCAACAUCUCACGACACGAGCUGACGACAGCCAUGCAGCACCUGUGUUACGGCUCCCUUUCGGGCACCCUCACAUCUCUAUGAGGUUCCGUACAUGUCAAGGGUAGGUAAGGUGGGGAUGACGUUAGCCUAUCGAG